Molecule: long non-coding RNA, 1788 nt
Filed under: Mus caroli (Ryukyu mouse)
Lineage: Eukaryota; Metazoa; Chordata; Mammalia; Rodentia; Muridae
Description: lncRNA (MGP_CAROLIEiJ_G0004682.1)
Source: RNAcentral
AACUGGAUGAGAAAAAUGUCAGGGACACAAGACACCCACCUGGGUUCUAGUGACAGCAUCAAAGACAAAGAAAUGACACUGCAGGAAAGAAGCUUAACUAAUGGCUCUUGUCGUAGCUGACACCCCUAGAGGUUGUGUCCUUCUUAGGCAAGAGGAUCGAACCCAGCCUAUGAAGACCCCAAAGUCUGAGAAUCCUAGCUCCUGACGACCUCCAGGCCACUGUGUCUUCGGGUCUGGACUGCAUGGCAACUCCCGGGAGGGUUCUGUUCUACUCUCGGAACUCGAAGAUCCUGGCCUCACCGUCCCUUCCCUAGCCCGAGCUCGGGGUGUGCAGAGAGAGACCCGCGAAAACCCGGCAAGUCCCCGGCGCGCUCGCCCGGGAGCAGGAUCAGAACGCGCGCGCGUGCGCGCCGGGAGCCCCGCCCCCUCCCUUCAACCGCGCGGCGGGAAAGUAGCCGCUCAUUGCUCCGCUGCUCGCCGCCCCGCCGUCUCACCACCUCAGGGACGCCCGUUGUCGGCCCUGGGUCCUCCGGACACACUCACCCGCUCUCCGCGAGUCCUCUGAAGCCUCGCAGAGCCUGAGGCCCUGAGGUGCGGGGGUCGCAGCCUUUCCCGCCACUCGGCUGAGGGCGACCAGUCUGCGCCUGCGCGGGCGGGGGCGGGGCGGGCGAACGGGGUGGGGCGGGGCGAGCCGGGCAGAGCCACUGGACUCUGGACGAGAGAGGGAGGAUUGGAUAAAGAAGGGAACCCAAAAGGACUGUUUUAUGUGAGUCGGGCAUCUGCGUUAAAGUAAAAACCAAAACGCUAUGGGUUUUCUACUGAAUUAUAAUAAGAAUCAAGAUCGAAUUAAGGGAGAAUUUACAGACGUACUUCCCCUUCCAGUCCAGUGGACUAUUCCAAAGUCUUAAAUGGCUAGUUAGAAAAGAUGUGUUUUAUUUGGGAGGAAGUGGAGAGUUUGAUGUUUGGGAUGGAGUUUUGGGUUGUCUGUCUUCUUAUAGGCAUAUGUUUUAAAGCUGGCAAGGUAUAUACAGGAAGCUCAGAAUAGAAAGAUCUGAAAUAAAUAUUCCUUGUUCGUUCAGGGUCACCUGCGCCCCUGUUGAGACGAUGCUGUUUUACGAACAAAUACAAGAUAGGGCUCCAAAAGGAAAAAAAAAAUCAUCUCCGAAUUAAGCGUUUAGAUUGAGGAGAUCGAUAUCUGGGUCAUGAGGGAGAGUUAGCAGAAAGGAUAGCCGAGAGAAAAGUGAAAAGACAUACAAAAAUAAAAGACUAUGGAGCUAGUGAUAAAAGUACAGAGAUGCCAUUUGCAAAGUUCACUUGCGUGGUGAUCUGGAAAUAAAAUCUUGGAUUCCUCUCCCACCAGACCUCCCAACCCCUGGAAUGCCUUCCCUCCUCCUUUCUUUCUGCUGUCUGCUUCCUGAGAGGAACGACACCCCACCCACCCUCCCCCGUGACCCUUCAAAAAUCAAGGUGCAUAUACUUGAAUGGAAGCAGGGUAAAGGCCAGAAACUCGGGUUCCCUGUGCUCACCAAACUGGGGUGGGAAAUGACAUACAUGUUGACACCUCUUUCCCCUCCCCUAGCUUCUGUGCCCGCAAACUCAGACACGGCCACACGCACCCACAUUCAUAUGAACAGUCGUGCACACACGGCGAGGGGAGCUGGAGCUGGAGCGGGGAGGAAGGGAAGUUUGCACCAACCAGUCGUGAAUGCAACUUAAAAGAUUUCACACAGCAAAAGGGAAAAAAAAAUGAAAAACGUAAGUUAAAAAAUAAAGAAGUACAUGCCCCUC